Molecule: ribosomal RNA, 2927 nt
Filed under: Escherichia coli
Lineage: Bacteria; Pseudomonadati; Pseudomonadota; Gammaproteobacteria; Enterobacterales; Enterobacteriaceae
Description: 23S ribosomal RNA
Rfam family: Bacterial large subunit ribosomal RNA
Source: RNAcentral
GGGUUGUGAGGUUAAGCGACUAAGCGUACACGGUGGAUGCCCUGGCAGUCAGAGGCGAUGAAGGACGUGCUAAUCUGCGAUAAGCGUCGGUAAGGUGAUAUGAACCGUUAUAACCGGCGAUUUCCGAAUGGGGAAACCCAGUGUGAUUCGUCACACUAUCAUUAACUGAAUCCAUAGGUUAAUGAGGCGAACCGGGGGAACUGAAACAUCUAAGUACCCCGAGGAAAAGAAAUCAACCGAGAUUCCCCCAGUAGCGGCGAGCGAACGGGGAGCAGCCCAGAGCCUGAAUCAGUGUGUGUGUUAGUGGAAGCGUCUGGAAAGGCGUGCGAUACAGGGUGACAGCCCCGUACACAAAAAUGCACAUAUUGUGAGCUCGAUGAGUAGGGCGGGACACGUGGUAUCCUGUCUGAAUAUGGGGGGACCAUCCUCCAAGGCUAAAUACUCCUGACUGACCGAUAGUGAACCAGUACCGUGAGGGAAAGGCGAAAAGAACCCCGGCGAGGGGAGUGAAAAAGAACCUGAAACCGUGUACGUACAAGCAGUGGGAGCACAGAGCAAUCUGUGUGACUGCGUACCUUUUGUAUAAUGGGUCAGCGACUUAUAUUCUGUAGCAAGGUUAACCGAAUAGGGGAGCCGAAGGGAAACCGAGUCUUAACUGGGCGUUAAGUUGCAGGGUAUAGACCCGAAACCCGGUGAUCUAGCCAUGGGCAGGUUGAAGGUUGGGUAACACUAACUGGAGGACCGAACCGACUAAUGUUGAAAAAUUAGCGGAUGACUUGUGGCUGGGGGUGAAAGGCCAAUCAAACCGGGAGAUAGCUGGUUCUCCCCGAAAGCUAUUUAGGUAGCGCCUCGUGAAUUCAUCUCCGGGGGUAGAGCACUGUUUCGGCAAGGGGGUCAUCCCGACUUACCAACCCGAUGCAAACUGCGAAUACCGGAGAAUGUUAUCACGGGAGACACACGGCGGGUGCUAACGUCCGUCGUGAAGAGGGAAACAACCCAGACCGCCAGCUAAGGUCCCAAAGUCAUGGUUAAGUGGGAAACGAUGUGGGAAGGCCCAGACAGCCAGGAUGUUGGCUUAGAAGCAGCCAUCAUUUAAAGAAAGCGUAAUAGCUCACUGGUCGAGUCGGCCUGCGCGGAAGAUGUAACGGGGCUAAACCAUGCACCGAAGCUGCGGCAGCGACGCUUAUGCGUUGUUGGGUAGGGGAGCGUUCUGUAAGCCUGUGAAGGUGUGCUGUGAGGCAUGCUGGAGGUAUCAGAAGUGCGAAUGCUGACAUAAGUAACGAUAAAGCGGGUGAAAAGCCCGCUCGCCGGAAGACCAAGGGUUCCUGUCCAACGUUAAUCGGGGCAGGGUGAGUCGACCCCUAAGGCGAGGCCGAAAGGCGUAGUCGAUGGGAAACAGGUUAAUAUUCCUGUACUUGGUGUUACUGCGAAGGGGGGACGGAGAAGGCUAUGUUGGCCGGGCGACGGUUGUCCCGGUUUAAGCGUGUAGGCUGGUUUUCCAGGCAAAUCCGGAAAAUCAAGGCUGAGGCGUGAUGACGAGGCACUACGGUGCUGAAGCAACAAAUGCCCUGCUUCCAGGAAAAGCCUCUAAGCAUCAGGUAACAUCAAAUCGUACCCCAAACCGACACAGGUGGUCAGGUAGAGAAUACCAAGGCGCUUGAGAGAACUCGGGUGAAGGAACUAGGCAAAAUGGUGCCGUAACUUCGGGAGAAGGCACGCUGAUAUGUAGGUGAAGUCCCUCGCGGAUGGAGCUGAAAUCAGUCGAAGAUACCAGCUGGCUGCAACUGUUUAUUAAAAACACAGCACUGUGCAAACACGAAAGUGGACGUAUACGGUGUGACGCCUGCCCGGUGCCGGAAGGUUAAUUGAUGGGGUUAGCGCAAGCGAAGCUCUUGAUCGAAGCCCCGGUAAACGGCGGCCGUAACUAUAACGGUCCUAAGGUAGCGAAAUUCCUUGUCGGGUAAGUUCCGACCUGCACGAAUGGCGUAAUGAUGGCCAGGCUGUCUCCACCCGAGACUCAGUGAAAUUGAACUCGCUGUGAAGAUGCAGUGUACCCGCGGCAAGACGGAAAGACCCCGUGAACCUUUACUAUAGCUUGACACUGAACAUUGAGCCUUGAUGUGUAGGAUAGGUGGGAGGCUUUGAAGUGUGGACGCCAGUCUGCAUGGAGCCGACCUUGAAAUACCACCCUUUAAUGUUUGAUGUUCUAACGUUGACCCGUAAUCCGGGUUGCGGACAGUGUCUGGUGGGUAGUUUGACUGGGGCGGUCUCCUCCUAAAGAGUAACGGAGGAGCACGAAGGUUGGCUAAUCCUGGUCGGACAUCAGGAGGUUAGUGCAAUGGCAUAAGCCAGCUUGACUGCGAGCGUGACGGCGCGAGCAGGUGCGAAAGCAGGUCAUAGUGAUCCGGUGGUUCUGAAUGGAAGGGCCAUCGCUCAACGGAUAAAAGGUACUCCGGGGAUAACAGGCUGAUACCGCCCAAGAGUUCAUAUCGACGGCGGUGUUUGGCACCUCGAUGUCGGCUCAUCACAUCCUGGGGCUGAAGUAGGUCCCAAGGGUAUGGCUGUUCGCCAUUUAAAGUGGUACGCGAGCUGGGUUUAGAACGUCGUGAGACAGUUCGGUCCCUAUCUGCCGUGGGCGCUGGAGAACUGAGGGGGGCUGCUCCUAGUACGAGAGGACCGGAGUGGACGCAUCACUGGUGUUCGGGUUGUCAUGCCAAUGGCACUGCCCGGUAGCUAAAUGCGGAAGAGAUAAGUGCUGAAAGCAUCUAAGCACGAAACUUGCCCCGAGAUGAGUUCUCCCUGACCCUUUAAGGGUCCUGAAGGAACGUUGAAGACGACGACGUUGAUAGGCCGGGUGUGUAAGCGCAGCGAUGCGUUGAGCUAACCGGUACUAAUGAACCGUGAGGCUUAACCUUACAACGCCGAAG